UACAGAGGUCUCAAGCGUUGUUCGGAAUCACUGGGCGUAAAGGGUGCGUAGGCGGCGCAGCAAGUCAGAUGUGAAAUCCGGAGGCUCAACCUCCGAACUGCAUCCGAAACUGCUGUGCUCGAGAUCUGUAGAGGGACUUGGAGUUCUCGGUGUAGCAGUGAAAUGCGUAGAUAUCGAGAAGAACGCUCGUGGCGAAGGCGAAGUCCUGGGCAGAUUCUGACGCUGAGGCACGAAGGCCAGGGGAGCAAACGGG
This 253-nucleotide ribosomal RNA is filed under the name uncultured bacterium. RNAcentral describes it as "partial 16S ribosomal RNA". It matches the Rfam family "Bacterial small subunit ribosomal RNA", at positions 524 to 776 of the family's 1533-position model. The record is from RNAcentral.